This 502-nucleotide ribosomal RNA is filed under the name uncultured bacterium. RNAcentral describes it as "partial 16S ribosomal RNA". It matches the Rfam family "Bacterial small subunit ribosomal RNA", at positions 28 to 507 of the family's 1533-position model. The record is from RNAcentral.
GACGAACGCUGGCGGCGUGCUUAACACAUGCAAGUCGAACGGUGAAGGGGUCUGCUUUUGUGGGCCCUGGAUGAGUGGCGAACGGGUGAGUAACACGUGAGUAACCUGCCCCCUUCUUCUGGAUAACCGCAUGAAAGUGUGGCUAAUACGGGAUAUUCUGGGUCUGUCGCAUGAUGGGUCUGGGAAAGAUUGCGCCUUUGGGUGUUUUUGGUGGGGGAUGGGCUCGCGGCCUUUCAGCUUGUUGGUGGGGUGAUGGCCUACCAAGGCGGUGACGGGUAGCCGGCCUGAGAGGGUGGACGGUCACACUGGGACUGAGACACGGCCCAGACUCCUACGGGAGGCAGCAGUGGGGAAUAUUGCACAAUGGGCGCAAGCCUGAUGCAGCGACGCCGCGUGAGGGAUGGAGGCCUUCGGGUUGUAAACCUCUUUCGCCAGUGAAGCAGGCCUGCUCCUUGUGGGUGGGUUGACGGUAGCUGGAUAAGAAGCGCCGGCUAACUACGUG